RNAcentral lists this long non-coding RNA (2333 nucleotides) under Meleagris gallopavo (turkey). RNAcentral's name for it is "lncRNA (ENSMGAG00000018854.1)". The record is from RNAcentral. Lineage: Eukaryota; Metazoa; Chordata; Aves; Galliformes; Phasianidae.
CUGUAAAUGGUUCUCUGUCCUGUGUCACUGGCCUGGCUCAUGUGACGCUUCUCUUUUUCUUUAGGGAUCUCUCUUAUUACUGGGAAGAUGUACCUUGUAGCAUGGACUUGAAAUCAGUUUGCUGUACAUGCUAUGUUAGAGCCAUGUAGCACAGCAUGCCAUUUGGUGUCUGAAUAUAAUGUGCCAUGUUGCAACAUUCAUGGUUCUCUUUAACAAACUGAAAGCCUACCGUUUUUGUUUUGUCCUCGAAUCUCUUUUGUUUCAGUGAAAGUGGUAAAAAGAGUCCCUUUGGCAUCAAUAUAUGUCUGCUUUUUGGAAAAUUAUUGUGGUAAGAUCAAUUGAUAUAGCAUUCAAAAAGUUCUGUGGGUAGGGUGUGGCAAUGUCAAUCAUCAGAUACUUGGGAAUUGCUGAGUUGCUACCAGGGCAAGUUCUGUAGAUAUGAGAUAUUGGGAGAGCCACAACAGGCUUGGAAAGGAUGACAUUAGGGAAUUUCUGCUUUGAGGCAUUUGUGAAGUCUCAGAUGACAGAUGCAUCCUUGUGGCUGCUCAUGGUUGAGGACAGCUUGGGGGCCAUACAGGGGCUCGCAGCCCUUUGGUUAAGGACAGCUUUUCCCCAGUAUGGAACCCAUCCUAAGCGUGAAGGCCAUCUCCUCUGUUUGGUGUGAGCCAACUGGCAAGCUCCCAGCUUUGAAGUGAAGUUCAGCCCUUUGAAGUCUCAGUGACAUAUUCAGAUCAUGCCAGCCCUAGAGACGCGUCUUCCUGCAUCUGUACAUUAGCUCUGCCAGUUGGACUAUUGUCUUGUAACUGGGCGUCUUCUGUGGUGAAUAAAAAAGCUGUGAAUUUGAGUGUUGGGCUGUGUGCUGAGGAGCAGAUAAGCUCUUUGUAGCCCAAACUUGAAACAGCAAGUUCCAUAUAUGCAUUUUUACAUGGCUGAUGCUGAGGACUAAGUCACUGGUCGUUGUCAUGUAGAUUGCAGAGAUUAUAGUAAUGCACUGACAUAAAGUGUUGCCUUUCCCAGUGAUUACAGAUAGCUGGUCUAAGAAGAGGCUAUACUGCCCCAAACAAGAAAAUAGUAUUAAAUGAGGAAUUAUGGGUGCAAUUCUUGGAUCUAUGGGGCCUGGCGUUGGUUCAGGCGCAGGAGAUGUCAUGUGAUAGCCCAAAUUGGAUCGUUUUGCUUCAUAAUAAAUUGAUAGAACCUGUCAUAAACCUGAAGUCAGAAAUGAAUAGUUAGGAGCUGGGAAUCUCCUGCAGAAACCUAUAUGUGGAACUUUGGAUUAGGAGAUGAUCGUUAAGAUCUUUUCCAACCUGAGUAAUUCUAUGAUUCUAUGACUUGAGUACUGUGUGGAGGAACCUAAGGCUGGGAGUUCAUCUAUCUUUGAGUAGAAAAGAUGAUAAUAGGUAUUACUGACAUACUCUACAUAAUGUUGACUGGAAGUGGAGACACACUCUCGCUGUUUCUUUUUCAGGGGUCAGAGACAGGAUCAGAGUAUUCAAGAGGAGAUGCAGUGGGAUCAUGAUGCAGUCAGUAUGAAAGAGUGCUAGGAGGCUUUAUGAACUUUUGCUUAUAGGUUCAUUAUUAUGCCUGAAAGAAGUAUUAACCGAGGCUCUGGGUGCAUCUGCAUACCGUGCUGAGAGGCAGAUAGGAGUUUCUUUGAGAAAUAACGAAACUGAGAUGAGAAAUGAAUGGGACCGAUUCAGGUGGAAUCAGGUGGAUUCAGGACACACACCUCUGUAGCAAGGUAUCAGCGGAGUUGCAUUUUUAACCUAAAUCUGGAAAUUCAACCCAGCAUUUCUGAGUUUGUGUUUUACUUGGAUCAUUUUGCAUUUCUUCUUUAGGGUGUUUAUUGGUGCAGUGUUCUCUGUAUCCCCACAGCUUCUCACUUCAAGGCUCUUCAAACACUCCUGUGAGGCAGGUUGUGCUUCUGGCCUUCUGGUGAAGGAAGGAACAGAGCUUCAGAGCAUUUGUUGAAAUUUCUGGAACUUAAUAAAGUCCAUGUUAUUUAUAUGAAACUUCUUCCAAAAGAAAAUGCCAUUUUGGAAAAGAGGAGAGGUGGAGAAAAAAUGGAAAUAUAAAAAGCUUUAAAUAAUUUGUUCUUCCCUAUAACGCCAGACAGCAUGCAGGUGCAGUCAUUCAUGCUGACCAGUGCCUUUGCCUUUGCAGAAAGGCCUGGUGAUUUCUGGUCUUGUGCAGCUGAGAGUCUGUAAGAUGUUUCUGGUUUUAUGCUAGGAAUGAGUUCUUGUAGCAUGGCCCUUUGCAGGAAUGUUGAUGACCACUGUUGAAGUGAUUUAAUAUUAGCUGCUAGCUGUUACAAUAUACUACUGUGUUCCAAGCAA